CUUGAGAGAAUGAUUCCCAUUAGUAAUAUUAUUAUAUCCAGAAUAGUUCCCCUCCAAUCUGUACGCAUCCUCAUUAACAUUGUUGAGAUAUUUAUGGUGUGACAUGUCACUAUCAUCAAUAUUCCUGUAUCAUAAUUUCAGAACCAAAAUGCCAUUUUCAGCUUGUUGCAGAUAGCAAAAAAAAAAAUUCAAUAUUUAUAACAAGUCAUUUAUUAAAAUUCAACCAUAUUACAUUACACUAUAAGAUAGAAAUCCAUAAUUCAUAAAGCCAUUUUUUUUAAUGCAAGAAUCUAAAAUAUAGCAAAUUCAAAAUUCUAACUUAAGGGAUUUUAAAAAAUGCAGACUUCUGAACUAAGGGAUUUUUUUGGGUACCCACACAACAUUCACUAGUAUGUUUUGGACUACAGCCAUAUUUACAAAAAAUUCAUAUAUAAAACUCGAAGUUGCUGAAUGUGGAAAACAUACUCAACAGAAGGCCAAGCCACGCACUCCUCAGGUUUCAAGGUUGAAGUCAGCCGACAAUAAAAGAAACCUGUUAGCAUUAAUGCAUAUGCAGCCACUUUGCCCAAGAGUAGCAAAACAUUUGUCGCUUUGCUGGAAGGAACAAAUGAAAGUUUAUUUCUGUUGGUUAGGAAUCAAACUCUAAAAAAAAAUGAACCAAUGCUAAAGAGCAAAGAGGAAUAUAGAGAAUGGGAAAGAAAGCAAAAUGCGCGUUAGUUUAGGGACCAAAUAACAAGCGUAUGGCAUACCUCCGAGAAUAUUUGUGUAGAUCCCAGUGAAGGAACCUCAACCGAUUCUCCUCUGACAAAUCUUUAUUUAUAACAUCAAUUGCAUUUGCAAACUCUUGACGAAGAAUCGACUCUCGAGGCUUCUUCUCUUGUGUCUGCUCAUAAAAAAAAACAGUAAUAUACAGAAUCUUAUCAUUAAAUCAGUGAUAUCAUAGAGCUACAUCAAAUUACUCCACUAGCCUGCCCCUUCCCCCCCCCAAAAAAAAAAAAAAAAAAACAAAAAUUGUAGAUUUUCUGCACGCAUUAUCUUUAAGAAACAUAGCAGUUAUGUAAUAGUAAAACAAAAUAAAAAGACUGGAAUGAAGAUGACAUAUAGCCGAAAAGGGAUAGUGGGUGAUAUAAUUAUACUUACCUUAAUCAAAUUUAAAAUAAUUAUAGGGUUGCCAUAUCUUUUGACAAGAUUUUGAAAGUGAAGUCUGGUUGCUUCAUAAUUUUUGUCCUUCUUGGACACUGGGAAAAGAGAAAACAGGGUUAGUUUUCCUUUUCCUGAACAAAAGAAAAUGCCUGUAGUAACACCUGAAGUACUCCGACAAUUACAAGCACAUACAUAUGAUAUCUGGUUUAAGAUUCAAUCGUGAGGUUUCUUGUGACCAAAAGAGCGGAAUUGAGCCUCGGUUCUGGACAACAGAAGUUACUUCUGCAGGAAGCCCAUCAGGGACAUCCUCGAAGACAAUCUGCUCUGUCUCAACAUCAUUAGCUACUCUGCCUUUUUCAUUUACUCCUCGUUUUAGAUACCUACAAAAAUAAUCGCAUGCACAUGCAGACAAGCAGUUUCAACCCAUAACUAUGUUACAGAAAAUAACAAUGGUAUUAAGGAUAACCAAGUUAAAUUGCAUCUCAUAGUGCUCUACAAUAACAAAACUAAGCUUUUUCCCUUUAAUGGGGGACAACUUUCUUACCUGGUACCAGCAUAGUGACGGGAGCGUCUUGCAAUAAGCGUAAGUUUGAAGUCCCUUCCAGAUACAGAAAGUGUGGCCUAUAUUCAUGUAGCCCAAUGUCAAACUAUGAAGCUAAUAAUCCAAUAAUAUGCACAACAGGAAAUAAAACAUUAGCUAACGAUAACUUAAAAUGAGGACUGUCCUUAACCUGCUUAAAGAAGCCAUACACCAAUGCAACUGUCCAUAAAGUAUUCUGGAGAUGACUGUGGAUCCCUCGAGUUAGGAACUCAUUCCACACAAACAUGGUCUCAUAAAGAACCUGACCUGGUUCAUUAUUACACAAGUUCUUUUGAAGACUAAGCAUGACAUGGUAUGAAUAGCUGAAGAAGAAGUCCUUUGUCAGAUCAACCGUGCAUAAGAGCUUCUUGUAUCUAAAUAAAAGACAAAACAAGUAAUAUCGAAUUAAAAACUAAAUGCAAAAUGCACAAUGGAAAAGGCACUUAGUUUGAAAAAUGGAAACAAAGUGAAUUAGCAAACAGAAAAGAAGAAGACCUAUUCUCAUCCUUAGAGUCAGCAAUGCUUGAAUUAACAGUUGCAUUUGGGACAGGAAUCAUCUCAGUCUUUGAAACCGCAUAUACAUUAUGACCACGAAUUGAACCAAUCUGCCUUCUUUUUGUAAUAAGCAGCAUAUAGUAAGGCCCCAAAAAUUUAAUAAACCCUAAAACAUGGAACAAUUUUUCCGUAUUAGAUUAACAACAUUUGAAUAAAAUUAAUACUCCUAAAACCAUAACAUAAUUUCAACAUCCAUACCAACAAUGCCAUAACAAAUUGUAACGAAUCUCAAUCCACCGGUGGAUAUAUUUCCUUCAUGUAUCCGCCUCAACAACUCAGAGCAUUCACUCUCUGUAUACGUGGUAGAGUCUUCCCGAAUGUUCAGCUCGGAAGGAUCAAGCCGG
This 2622-nucleotide long non-coding RNA is filed under the name Gossypium barbadense (sea-island cotton). RNAcentral's name for it is "long non-coding RNA (GBAR_LNC016997)". The record is from RNAcentral. Lineage: Eukaryota; Viridiplantae; Streptophyta; Magnoliopsida; Malvales; Malvaceae.